UACAGAGGUCCCAAGCGUUACUGAGAAUCACUGGGUUUAAAGGGUGCGUGGGUGGUCCGUUAAGUCAGUUGUGAAAUCCCCGGGCUCAACUCGGGAACUGCUUCUGAUACUGGCGGACUUGAGGCCAGUAGGGGUCACUAGAACUGACGGUGGAGCGGUGAAAUGCGUAGAUAUCGUCAGGAAUGCCGGUGGUGAAGACGGGUGACUGGGCUGGUUCUGACACUGAGGCACGAAAGCGUGGGGAGCGAACGGG
RNAcentral lists this ribosomal RNA (253 nucleotides) under uncultured bacterium. Its description in RNAcentral is "partial 16S ribosomal RNA". It matches the Rfam family "Bacterial small subunit ribosomal RNA", at positions 524 to 776 of the family's 1533-position model. The record is from RNAcentral.